CGCACUGCACUAUCCGGACGACUCCCCCGUGACAGUAUGCCCCGUUGAGCGUCAUUUAUACCUUCGCACUUGGUAUGUUCAUUCAUAUCUUGGACGAGUUUGAGGUUCCCAUUCACUUGAUGAAUGCGUCCUUCGAGAUUCAUUAGCCAACCGCAUCUGCUGGUGCCCAUCCUGUGAUGACUUUGCAGGUGGGACUAAUCGGCAACCUUGGUGCAUGGCUUAUAGUCGCCGCAAGGCAGACUGACCUCUGUGUCAACACCUCGUACAUGACCUCAGUGGGGUAGGAUUACCCGCUAGACUUAAGCAUAUUAAUCAGCGGAGGAAAAGAAACUAACAAGGAUUCCCCUAGUAACUGCGAGUGAAGAGGGAACAGC
Molecule: unclassified non-coding RNA, 374 nt
Filed under: Sporisorium lepturi
Lineage: Eukaryota; Fungi; Basidiomycota; Ustilaginomycetes; Ustilaginales; Ustilaginaceae
Description: partial contains 5.8S ribosomal RNA, internal transcribed spacer 2, and large subunit ribosomal RNA
Rfam family: Eukaryotic large subunit ribosomal RNA (bases 268-374)
Source: RNAcentral